RNAcentral lists this ribosomal RNA (254 nucleotides) under uncultured bacterium. RNAcentral's name for it is "partial small subunit ribosomal RNA". It matches the Rfam family "Bacterial small subunit ribosomal RNA", at positions 26 to 285 of the family's 1533-position model. The record is from RNAcentral.
AGGACGAACGCUGGCGGCGUGCUUAACACAUGCAAGUCGAACGGUGAAGCCUUUCGGGGUGGAUCAGUGGCGAACGGGUGAGUAACACGUGGGCAAUCUGCCCUGCAUUCUGGGACAAGCCUUGGAAACGAGGUCUAAUACCGAAUAUGACUGCGGCUGACAUCAGCCACGGUGGAAAGUUUUUCGGCUAGGGAUGGACUCGCGGCCUAUCAGCUAGUUGGUGAGGUAACGGCCCACCAAGGCGACGACGGGUA